This is a non-coding RNA of Myotis lucifugus (little brown bat), 107 nucleotides long. The record is from Rfam. NCBI's taxonomy places the organism in Eukaryota, Metazoa, Chordata, Mammalia, Chiroptera, Vespertilionidae.
GUGCUCACUUUGGUAGCACAUAUGUUAAAAUUGGAACCAUACAGAGAAGACUAGCAGGGCCCCUGUGCAAGGAUGACAUGCAAAUUUGUGGUGUUCCAUUUUUUGUU